This 576-nucleotide ribosomal RNA is filed under the name Triticum aestivum (bread wheat). RNAcentral describes it as "partial small subunit ribosomal RNA". The record is from RNAcentral. Lineage: Eukaryota; Viridiplantae; Streptophyta; Magnoliopsida; Poales; Poaceae.
AUGCUUGAACAAGCCCCAGUGCGGUUGACAGCCCAGAAAACCCUCACACAUGGACACGAACGCGGCAAGAUAGGCGAUAGAAUUUGGGGUAAAGUGGUGGAGCUGCGCUCCAAAGAAGUUCAAGAAACCACGGAAGAAAAUGCUCGGCGGCAAAGAAAAUCCACGAUCAACAUGGGUGGCCAAGAGCACGCACUCACCCUCUUCUGGCUGGGGCUGCCACUCCUUCCCCGGAAGCCUCGCAGCUCCAUGGGGGAUCAGCCCUCGUUGGCCAUGUCGAGGAGAUCUUUCUCCGUGAUGGUCGACUGGAUCCAAUCUCCUUGGACCCAGCCCUUCGGCAGGCGGGAUCUAGACGAAGACCCGCCGCGGCUGGUGGAUCUCUUCUUCGCCUUCUCCGUCGCCGACGCCUUCUUCGCACGUUCCAGCGCCGCCGUCUUCUCCUUGGCCAUGGUUGCCGGCGAGACGCGCGGGGAGAGGUUGGGCGGAGGCGAGAGCGAGCGCGUCGGGCGGAGACGAAGGGAGCAGAGAAAGAGAAUGCUGAGGCACUGUACAAAAAACCCUCGCCGGGCGCAUUUAUAA